UUGAAACGGUCCGAUGCACUUCACUUGCAAUGCAGAUCAUCAUUUCUGGACAGCUUUCUACUUACUGCUGUGGACAUGAAAGGAUCGUCCUAGGCUUGCCCAUGCUGAUGGGCUGCACCACAGCAGUACUGGAGCUGAAUUCCUGUUAGAAAACAUCUUCAGGAUGCUUUGACCAGGACACCUCCAAUGUGAAGCAGUGGACAGCUGAAGAUGUUGCUGGCUGUUAUUGCUAGA
This is a long non-coding RNA of Danio aesculapii, 234 nucleotides long. RefSeq lists it as uncharacterized. Lineage: Eukaryota; Metazoa; Chordata; Actinopteri; Cypriniformes; Danionidae. The transcript is spliced from 3 exons. The record is from RefSeq and is a predicted model, not a curated record.